RNAcentral lists this ribosomal RNA (497 nucleotides) under uncultured bacterium. RNAcentral describes it as "partial 16S ribosomal RNA". It matches the Rfam family "Bacterial small subunit ribosomal RNA", at positions 28 to 507 of the family's 1533-position model. The record is from RNAcentral.
GAUGAACGCUGGCGGCGUGCCUAAUACAUGCGAGUCGAGCGAACAGAUGAGGAGCUUGCUCCUCUGACGUUAGCGGCGGACGGGUGAGUAACACGUGGAUAACCUACCUAUAAGACUGGGAUAACUUCGGGAAACCGGAGCUAAUACCGGAUAAUAUAUUGAACCGCAUGGUUCAAUAGUGAAAGACGGUUUUGCUGUCACUUAUAGAUGGAUCCGCGCCGCAUUAGCUAGUUGGUAAGGUAACGGCUUACCAAGGCAACGAUGCGUAGCCGACCUGAGAGGGUGAUCGGCCACACGGGAACUGAGACACGGUCCAGACUCCUACGGGAGGCAGCAGUAGGGAAUCUUCCGCGAGGGGCGAAAGCCUGACGGAGCAACGCCGCGUGAGUGAUGAAGGUCUUCGGAUCGUAAAACUCUGUUAUUAGGGAAGAACAAAUGUGUAAGUAACUAUGCACGUCUUGACGGUACCUAAUCAGAAAGCCACGGCUAACUACGUG